GAACUCAGUGACAGCAUGAAUAAAGCUGGAGUCCAAGUCUUUCUCUGAAACCAAAGACAUGGAUACUUUAAAUAAGAUCUGGUUUAAUCUGCUUUUUCUCUUUGAAAAUGAUGAAAUCUGUUUUUCAGAAUAAAAUAACAUUGCAUAUUUGCAUUGAUGUAGUGGAACAUUUAGACACUUUGAUGUAACUAACAACUCCAAUAUAUCACUGUCUCCUCUUUUAAGUCUCAAAGCUCCAACUAAAACAUAUCUCUGAUGUUGUCCUUCUCUCUCCAGGUUGGGGGAGGAUCAUCUUUGUGCCCGUGGGUUUAGCAGCUCUCAUAAUAAUUGUUGUGGCGGUCAACAUGUGGACGAGAGCUAAAGAGAAGAAAACACAGACGGAGGAAAUCGCUGUGUGUUAUGAUGUAGAUGAUGAGACAGUGAACUAUGAAAACAUCAGAUCUCCUGAUGGAGUUUGACCAACACUUCUGCCUCCAUCAGACUCCACUGAUCAACUCGUCACCUUCUACUGGAGUAGUUCAAGACUGGAAAUAACAAAAAGAAUCAUUAAGGCUUAUUUUAUUUUAGUCUGAUGUAUUUUCCUGCAUCAAUUGUAAAAA
Molecule: long non-coding RNA, 599 nt
Organism: Sander lucioperca (pikeperch)
Lineage: Eukaryota; Metazoa; Chordata; Actinopteri; Perciformes; Percidae
Exons: 3
Source: RefSeq, a predicted model, not a curated record